This 750-nucleotide unclassified non-coding RNA is filed under the name Talaromyces pinophilus. RNAcentral describes it as "sequence contains ITS1, 5.8S rRNA gene and ITS2". The record is from RNAcentral. Lineage: Eukaryota; Fungi; Ascomycota; Eurotiomycetes; Eurotiales; Trichocomaceae.
ACCAACCCCCGCAGGUCCUUCCCGAGCGAGUGACAGAGCCCCAUACGCUCGAGGACCAGACGGGCGUCGCCGCUGCCUUUCGGGCAGGUCCCCGGGGGGACCACACCCAACACACAAGCCGUGCUUGAGGGCAGAAAUGACGCUCGGACAGGCAUGCCCCCCGGAAUGCCAGGGGGCGCAAUGUGCGUUCAAAGAUUCGAUGAUUCACGGAAUUCUGCAAUUCACAUUACUUAUCGCAUUUCGCUGCGUUCUUCAUCGAUGCCGGAACCAAGAGAUCCAUUGUUGAAAGUUUUGACAAUUUUCACAGUACUCAGACAGCCCAUCUUCAUCAGGGUUCACAGAGCGCUUCGGCGGGCGCGGGCCCGGAGACGUGCGUCCCCCGGCGACCAGGUGGCCCCGGUGGGCCCGCCAAAGCAACAGGUGUAUAGAGACAAGGGUGGGAGGUUCGUGGAUUAGGUAAGAGUUACCCGCUGAAAUUUAAGCAUAUAAAACAGCCAGAGAAACGGGCCCUCUCGGCUCUCCUCCCCCUUGUCCCUUUCCCCGGUUGCUUUUGGCGGGCCCCGGGGCCCCGGGUGCCGGGGGGGCGCCGUCCCGGGCCCCCCCCAAACGCUCGUGGNCCCUUAUGAAGAUGGGGCUGUCUGGAUUUCUGUGGAAUAAUUGUUCAAACUUUCAAAAUGGGAACUCCUGGGUUCCGGGAUCCAUGUAAGAAACCACCGAAAUUGCCAUAAAGUAAAGGUGCNUUUGCAGAAA